UACAGAGGGUGCGAGCGUUAAUCGGAGUUACUGGGCGUAAAGGGCGCGUAGGCGGUAAGAUGUGUGUGAUGUGAAAGCCCCGGGCUUAACCUGGGAAGUGCAUCGCAAACUAUCUGACUGGAGUAUAUGAGAGGGUGGCGGAAUUUCCGGUGUAGCGGUGAAAUGCGUAGAGAUCGGAAGGAACGGCGAUGGCGAAGGCAGCCACCUGGCAUAAUACUUACGCUUAGGCGCGAAAGCGUGGGGAGCGAACAGG
This 253-nucleotide ribosomal RNA is filed under the name uncultured bacterium. RNAcentral's name for it is "partial 16S ribosomal RNA". It matches the Rfam family "Bacterial small subunit ribosomal RNA", at positions 524 to 776 of the family's 1533-position model. The record is from RNAcentral.